AGAAGUAAAAUGGAACGUGGGAGCCCCUCCCCUUUUUUGGGAAGGAAAGUAAUCCCUUUGCCUUCCUAAAACAGUCCCAAAGCAACUUUUGGUUUAUCCUUUAUUUAAUACUCUUUCCGUUCACUUUUACUUAUUUAGUAUUCUAAAAAUAAAUUUUUAUUUUUAUUGUUAACUUUUAGUAUAUUAAGAAAAGAUAAUUUAUUUUUUCUUGUUUUACCCAUAGUAUUAAUUGCUCAUUUCAAAUCAUUUUCAAAUUCAAUAAAAAUAUACAUCAAUUAAUAUGGGUACAUUGAUAAAUUAUAUAUUUCAUUUAUUAUUUCUUAAACAACGUGAAAAGUCCAAAGUGGACAAGUAAAGGUAACCGGAGGGAGUAAUUUUUGAUUAAAAAAUUCUGCAUGCAUUUCAGUAGUGUAACAUUAACUUUUGAAGAGUGUAAAAGUUAAUGCUAUUCAAGUGAGUUAAUAUAUUAGAUACUAUUAAUAUGUGAGCCCAUAGAAAAAUUGGUGUCACAGACAUGAGUUCGUAGUUGGUAUGCAAUUCAAAAUCUCAAUGAAUAUACAAAUUAUCAUAGUUACAGGAGAUUAUUCAGAUAUAUAAUUGUAAGUGAAUUUUUACAUUCAAAUCUUCCUCUUUUUGAACUGCUUUUGUGCUUUCUUAAUUUCUUCUUCUUUUUUCAUCUUUAAUUUAGAGAUACAUAUUGUAGAAAGCUAAUCAAAAUUUAAAUUUAGUAAGUAUUUUGAAGGUAAACUAAAUCUCACACGGUAUUGACAAAUAAGCGUAUAAAAGGUGAGUCUUUCAUAAUUGUUUACAGGUAUGUCUUCUUCGUUGUUGAUUUUUUUUUUCCCACUUUUUUCUAUCCAUUCUGUGCUUUUAAUUUUAUUUUUUUUGAUAUUUUGAAUAGCAUGAAAAUUUCAUGUUACCUUACUCGACUAUUACUGAGAGGCUACAAAAAUUGGUGCAAUAAUACAAUAAAUACCACACAUGGGUUACUGGGCAUGCGAGUCGAAGAUGAAAUAAAGAGUCCCUAUAUCCUUGUGGUUAGUGGAGAACAACCAUCGGACCGAAUUUGUGCUUGUCCUAGAAGCAUUAUGGCUUGUCUUAGAAGCCUUUUUCCUUUUCUAUAUUUAGAGGAGCUUGUUUGUAUUGGAAAAUAUAGAAAGGAAUACACAAUUAGUUUUUCCCUAUAUACUUCUC
Molecule: long non-coding RNA, 1194 nt
Organism: Lycium barbarum (goji berry)
Lineage: Eukaryota; Viridiplantae; Streptophyta; Magnoliopsida; Solanales; Solanaceae
Exons: 2
Source: RefSeq, a predicted model, not a curated record